GGGCGCCGGGGUGGGCGG
This 18-nucleotide microRNA is filed under the name Macrophomina phaseolina MS6. RNAcentral describes it as "miR-H10". The record is from RNAcentral. Lineage: Eukaryota; Fungi; Ascomycota; Dothideomycetes; Botryosphaeriales; Botryosphaeriaceae.